ACAUCCAGAGAACUUAGCAGAGAUGCUUUGGUGCCUUCGGGAACUCUGAGACAGGUGCUGCAUGGCUGUCGUCAGCUCGUGUUGUGAAAUGUUGGGUUAAGUCCCGNAACGAGCGCAACCCUUUAUCCUUUGUUGCCAGCGGUUCGGCCGGGAACUCAAGGGAGACUGCCGGUGAUAAACCGGAGGAAGGUGGGGAUGGCGUCAAGUCAUCAUGGCCCUUACGGCCAGGGCUACACACGUGCUACAAUGGCGCAUACAAAGAGAAGCGACCUCGCGAGAGCAAGCGGACCUCAUAAAGUGCGUCGUAGUCCGGAUUGGAGUCUGCAACUCGACUCCAUGAAGUCGGAAUCGCUAGUAAUCGUAGAUCAGAAUGCUACGGUGAAUACGUUCCCGGGCCUUGUACACACCGCCCGUCACACCAUGGGAGUGGGUUGCAAAAGAAGUAGGUAGCUUAACCUUCGGGAGGGCGCUUACCACUUUGUGAUUCAUGACUGGGGUGAAGUCGUAACAAGGUAGGCGUAGCGAG
RNAcentral lists this ribosomal RNA (526 nucleotides) under uncultured bacterium. Its description in RNAcentral is "bacterial SSU rRNA". It matches the Rfam family "Bacterial small subunit ribosomal RNA", at positions 984 to 1509 of the family's 1533-position model. The record is from RNAcentral.